Molecule: ribosomal RNA, 433 nt
Filed under: uncultured bacterium
Lineage: Bacteria
Description: partial 16S ribosomal RNA
Rfam family: Bacterial small subunit ribosomal RNA
Source: RNAcentral
AACGAACGCUGGCGGCAUGCCUAACACAUGCAAGUCGAACGAGACCUUCGGGUCUAGUGGCGCACGGGUGCGUAACGCGUGGGAACCUGCCCUUAGGUUCGGAAUAACUCCCCGAAAGGGGUGCUAAUACCGGAUAAUGUCUUCGGACCAAAGAUUUAUCGCCUUUGGAUGGGCCCGCGUUGGAUUAGCUAGUUGGUAGGGUAAAAGCCUACCAAGGCGACGAUCCAUAGCUGGUCUGAGAGGAUGAUCAGCCACACUGGGACUGAGACACGGCCCAGACUCCUACGGGAGGGAGCAGUGGGGAAUAUUGGACAAUGGGCGAAAGCCUGAUCCAGCAAUGCCGCGUGAGUGAUGAAGGCCUUAGAGUUGUAAAGCUCUAUUACCCGGGAUGAUAAUGACAGUACCGGGAGAAUAAGCUCCGGCUAACUCCGUG